GGCCUGAUGGUCUAGCGGUAUGAUUCUCGCUUCGGGAAAAAUCUCACCAGUUUAUCUGGUACAUUUGCGAGAGGUCCCGGGUUCAAUCCCCGGUCAGGCCC
Thozetella sp. PMI_491 is the source of this 101-nucleotide non-coding RNA. The record is from the annotation of a GenBank genome assembly. NCBI's taxonomy places the organism in Eukaryota, Fungi, Ascomycota, Sordariomycetes, Chaetosphaeriales, Chaetosphaeriaceae.